ACAACUAAAUAGUAAUAGGAUGCAUGCAAGUCACUGUGGAUUACAAAGGUACCUUUUUAUUAUUCUUGUUAAUUAUGACAGAAGGAAAUGAGCUUUCACUGAUUGGUAGAAACUGACUGUACAAGACUAAAAUAGAUUGGGGUUCUGUGUAGUAGACAUUAGGUCUAGUUGGGGGAAUGAAAAGCAAAAUAUAAUUUUGUAUUUAACUCUGACGUGUGAUUAGUGGCAACUGUUUAUAGCAAAUCUACAUGUGGCUGAAAAUGCCAUUUCUAAAGGCUUUUCCUGUCUUAUCCUUUGCAGUUGCCCAUAGAAAGACAGUGCAGGUGAAAAAGCAAAGAGGAAAAAAAUCACCAUUUUCACAAACCACAAGUGAAGUCCCUGGUAAAGUUCCUGACUUCAAAACAAAUAUUUCAGAUUCAGCAUCAGCUAGAAUGCAGGAAUGGAAUUGGAUUUUUGCUGUAUACAUCAGUAUAUCAGCUGGAUACUGUUUGACUCCAUCAAAGUGGAUAUUGUCCACGGCCGGUUCCUCGGACAUGUUAGGGGACGGGGAAGAUGAGGAAGGAGAUGAGGAGGACGAGGCAGUCGGCAGCGCUCACAACGCUNNNNNNNNNNGGAAAAUCAAGGAGCUGAGUGAGACAAGGCUACCAGAAGACCAAAGAGGCAAACGGAGGCUCCCGAUCCCCUCCCCAGACAUCCCGUUUCUACGAGGCACUGCAUUCCAUCCUCGGUGCGGCCGCCACCACUACCCCACCACUGACCGUGGACUCUGAGGAUGGGAUAGUGUCCACGGCCGGUUCCUCGGACAUGUUAGGGGACGGGGAAGAUGAGGAGGACGAGGCAGUCGGCAGCGCUCACAACGCUGAUUUUCCCGACAGCCAGAAUCUCUUCAUCACCCUUACAGAGAUCCCCUACCAACCGUUACCCCGGACACAGAAUCUGGGGAAGGAUCAGCCAGUAAGUGUUGUAAACAUCUAAACAUUUGUUUUUAACAGAACAGGAAUAUUAACAAUUAAAAGAAUGGGUUGUUCAUGAUUACUUUGCCCUAGGCGCUUAACGGUUCAGUCAUGGGCAGUGCAAGUUUUGAAAAAAAAUCUAGCAAUGUCCGGUUUUCCGUGAUUGUCCUGCCCAAGCCGCUCUACUGUUUAGUCCCUGCUACUGCAGCUACAGUAAAAUGCGGUCUAUAUGUCUGAGGAUAGAGCAGAAAUCCUCCUGGGACAUCUUGAUGAAGCUCUCCUGGAGGUAAUUGGAAAGCCGUUGCAUGAGGUUCCUGGGGAGAGCGGCCUUAUUGGGUCCUCCGUAGUACGACACGUUGCCGCGCCACGAGACAAUCAAGUACUCGGGAAUCAUUGCUCUGCACAGCAGGGCGGCAUACGGCCCUGGUCUUUGGAGGCUUUCCCGGAGCAUUCUCUCUUUCUCGCUGUCAGAGAUCCUCAUCAGGGUGAUGUUGCUCAUGGUGACCUGCUUUGAAUUAGGUAGGGGAAUGUUAGUGUUGGGACUGCUUGCCCGUUCCUUUACUGAACUGUAACCGUUGGUUUGCAGCCACACGGUGGAGGCGGGAGAGGGGCAGCCUACAGGGAUCGUUCCCGGGGACAGCCGCGAGGGGGUGGGACAGGGGCAGAGUUCCCGCUUGCCGGAUUGCUGGCAGCAGGGACUGACAUUGCUUUCAAUGUGAAAUCAGUACAUUGCUAAUAUUAAAGUUUUAAGCUGCCACAAGUCUACGGCUUACCAUGUCUGCCUGCAACAGAAAUUCCGUUGUCCUGCCCCGCUUCU
Long non-coding RNA from Chrysemys picta bellii (western painted turtle), 1770 nucleotides. The record is from Ensembl. NCBI's taxonomy places the organism in Eukaryota, Metazoa, Chordata, Testudines, Emydidae.